CAUCAUCGCGGCGGGCGGUGCCGGCAUGCAGCACGCUUCCGCCGUGCUCGGAGCCCGGCUCGGCACCGUGGAUGACGUC
RNAcentral lists this transfer RNA (79 nucleotides) under Mycolicibacterium hippocampi. RNAcentral describes it as "tRNA-Gly". Lineage: Bacteria; Bacillati; Actinomycetota; Actinomycetes; Mycobacteriales; Mycobacteriaceae. The record is from RNAcentral.